CUCUCUCGAUAAUGGCUGCCGCAACCGAAACUAGAUCUCUCUUUCUCACCCUCACCCUCACCACCGCAACCAAAACUCCAUCUUUCUCUCUCUCUCUCUCUCAACUCUUCUCCCUCUCUAUUUUUAUUAGUCUCCACCACCACUACCCACCACCACCACCACCACCGCUUUGAUUCUUCACGUCGUCAUCUCAUCUUCUUCUCGCUGGGUAAGCAUCUUCUCCCUCUCUAUUUUUAUUACUCUUUUAUUUUCUUCUGUUGUUUAAAAUUUUUGAUGAUUUAUAGUUCAAAUUAUUGAAAUUUAAAUUUAAUUCAUCAUUUUAGUUUUCUAGGGUUUCAAUCAUGUGAAUUAGUUUUUAAAUUAUGGCAGCUCCAGUCCUGCUAAACCCUGGCAGCAUAUUUUCCCAGUGACUAUAAUAGCUUUCAAUAUGUAUAAAUUUGACCCUGUUAUAAAUUUCUACUUGAUUACUGUUAAACGUAAAAUUUGAAUAUGUAUAAAUUUGACCCUGUGUGUAUUUAAUUAGUCCAUAAUAGCUAGUAUCAUGGAUGCAAAUUUUUCUUUUUUUAUGAGUGCCCCAGGCGUCAAAAAUUUCUGGCUACGCCACUGUUUCAAGCUACCAAACAAUUAUAGCUUGAUAAGCCCUUCAGGCAUACAACCUGGAAUUGCAUAUGAGCAUAUAAACUUUGUGAAUAAUUGUUUAAGCAGUUGGUAAGAUGCUUCGAUCAUUCAGACUCUUUAAGCCUUCACAAGAUAGAAGCAACAACUAAGCUAGAAAAAUUCCUAUCUUGACUCAUUCGAGUAUACAGUAGUAUAAUAGUAUUAUUGAAUUAUUAGUAGUCGACUGGUGUUAUUAAAGUGCAUGGUUCAAUAUACUUAAAUUAAAAUAUGUGUAAAUUGCAAUCAUAAUUUCCCCUUCUUUUUUUUCCCUGAGGUGAAAAACUGCAUGUCAUACAUUGAUAAGACCUGGACAUGUUUAUGAACAGAAAUUAACUAUGCAAACAAUUCUGAUUAAUCGAAGUUUAACCAAGCAGUUGGUAAGAUGCCUGACUCUAUUAGGACUUAGGAGCAACAACUAAGCUCAAAUCUCUUAUCUUGACUUGCUUGAGUGUAGUAGAAUAGUGGAUUAUUGGUGGUAUACACGUAUAUUUGGUAAAUACAGUGGUACUCAUUCUUCUGUAAAGAUUAGUGUCUUAAUCACCCAUAUCAAAUGGUCAUUUCUGCCAUUUGUGAAAAUUUAAUCAUUAAUUAUAACUUAUAAGAAUGCCAAGGAGCUGUUUGCUGUGUUCACUAAAAUAAUUGAUGUUAUUAUGUGUUCCAUGUCUUUAUACAAACAAAACAACUUUAUAAAAAUGUUACAACCAAAAAACAAAACUUUAUAAAAUGCUAUCACCACUUUACAUUUCUAAUAUGCUUUAGUGUCUAUCCUUUUCUUUAGUGUAAGGUACACAGUACACUUCUGAAAGAAGCAGCAGUGUUUGUUGCCAUUCAUUUCUGCUUUUUUUUUAUGUAUUAUUAGUAUGGCUUUUCUCAUGGAUAGAACCAUUGCUAGGGUUGUAACCCUCAGGUAUUAAUUAAUGUUUGGACUUGAAUAUUUUUAUUAGGAAUGUUUUACUAUGCCUAUUAUGUUACAGUUUGGUGGUUCAGAAGAUAUAGUUUAUGGUUAAAUUUACUCUUAAUUGAUGAAGCAAGUGGACUAUGAGGAGAAGAAAAUAUUGUUUGAUAACACUAAUAGCUGAAUAAAGUAAAGCUGUGUUAAGCAGAUCCCUAUUAGAAACGUCAUCAAUGUUGUGCAGCCUACCAUCUAAUGUAGAAAAGAAAAUGCAUGAGCAAAGGUGAGUGCACAACUGCCCUAUUUCUCUCCACCCAAGGUUGGAACUUUCCUCUUCAGGGAAGUUGUUAUCAGCUUCCCUAGCAGUUCUAAAGUAUAGACAGAAUUACUACCUGACCUGUAUUUUAUCUGAGCAAGAGGGUUUCAAAGCCCUGCACCUGAGUGCCAGUGUCCUCGACUUUUUGACAAAUUUAGCAAGUUUGUAAUUGGUCCAAAUAAUCUGAUAAGGCGGAUAAUUAUAUUGGCAAUUCAAAUUAAUUGAUUCAGCAAUCCAACCUGAUCCCAUAAGGUCACUGAUGGAUUAAAUCUUGAUAAAUAUCUGUUCCUUUCAUUCCACAGAUAUUGCAAGUGUUUUCAUCUCGAAAUAUUUUCGC
This 2202-nucleotide long non-coding RNA is filed under the name Aquilegia coerulea. RNAcentral's name for it is "long non-coding RNA (ACOE_LNC000634)". Lineage: Eukaryota; Viridiplantae; Streptophyta; Magnoliopsida; Ranunculales; Ranunculaceae. The record is from RNAcentral.